RNAcentral lists this unclassified non-coding RNA (261 nucleotides) under plant metagenome. Its description in RNAcentral is "partial contains small subunit ribosomal RNA, internal transcribed spacer 1, and 5.8S ribosomal RNA". The record is from RNAcentral.
UUUCCGUAGGUGAACCUGCGGAAGGAUCAUUAUUGUAUAACCGAGGUGCGAGGGCUGUCGCUGACCCGAAAGGUCGUGCACGCCCGAGUGCCCUCACACAUCCAUCUCACCCCUAUGUGCACCACCGCGUGGGUCCCCCUUUGGCUUGUUCGGAGGGGGGCUUACGUUUUCACACAAACUUUGUAUGCAGUGUAGAAUGUAUUUUUUGUUUUUGCGAUCACGCAAUCAAUACAACUUUCAACAAUGGAUCUCUUGGCUCUC